Andrographis paniculata is the source of this 1891-nucleotide long non-coding RNA. RefSeq lists it as uncharacterized. The record is from RefSeq and is a predicted model, not a curated record. The transcript has 3 exons. Lineage: Eukaryota; Viridiplantae; Streptophyta; Magnoliopsida; Lamiales; Acanthaceae.
UUAACCCUCAUUGAACAAUAGCUCCGCUGUCGGCCACGGUUCCACGUCAGUCUGAAAGAUAAUCCUAGGCUCGUCCUUGUGUUUCUUUGGGUACCUUGUUGUGUCACCUCGCUUCGGUCUCUCCCUAGAAGUCGAGUGAUUCACAUUUUGCUGCGCAGCAUUUGUUUUUCGUUCACCUGUUGUCAGAUGGUGCCGACGCCGGCUUAUUGUGCAGACAGUGAAGUCUGUUGAUUAUUUCAAAGCAAAGGAUAGACCAAGAGAGUUUGGUAACAUAUGUAUCACCACCAAGUAGGCAGUCAUUAAACAAUUCAUUGAUAUACCGAUGCUUAGAAGCGAAAUACAAGGAGUGAGAAGAACCACCAUUAUCUGUUUUGCGUGUUCAGUACCCCGAAUAGCCCCAUCAUGGAGUUCCAAAAGACACUCUUGUAGUGCAGACUGUGUAAGAAUAGGAGGAAGCACUAGAUUUGUAUCAUUUUUUAGUUAAGAUGACUGGCUUGCAAUCAUCCAUGAUUUUUCAUAAUUCAAUAGAAACAAUUGGAUUAAAUUGAUAAUAUUUAAUUAGAACUUAUUGUGAAAUGUCCAAGAGCAUAAGUGGAAUAUUAGAUAUGGCAGACAUCAUUAAGAUGUGAUGUUUGCAAUGUUAUUCUGAGAAAUUGAGGUUGUCAACAAUUUAUUGUCGGAGUUGAUGUUGGUGUAUAGACUGACUUAAACUAAUAGAAAUGUGAGAGUUUCAUCAACUUCAUACGUGUUGUUUUUGAAAGCGUAGUUAUGAUGAAGGCCAUAGGAAAAAAGCUUAGCUAGGUUAAAGACAUAAUUUACAUGUUUGAGAUGUCCUUUGAUGUUUAGUUACUUCCGUCAUGACAUACUAAAGAAUUUUAAUAUUUUUUCAUUUGAUCAGGACUAAUCUAUUGCGUGGAACAUGCCCUGGAACAAAAUAUACCUUAUUAUUGCAGGUUUACCUGAGUCAAAUGAAUAUAUAUUUGUUGAGGCUAAUGGUGGUUAAAUCAGAAGAGUACAUCGGUAUAUUUUCGUGGAUAACAAUGUUUAUAUAUCAUGUUAAAAUUUUGAUUUUUUAUGUUUUGGGAGUUAUGGAAAUGCAGUAUCUCACUGAUUUUGAUGUUUGUAGAUAUGCAAUGUUGUAGCUGUGGCAGGCUACCUCAAUGUUGUAGCUUACUUUCUCUAUAAAAUAAAAAUAUAUGUUGUUUAUCCAUUCUCCAUUUUCUUCCGUUGAUUGACAUGAUGACUGAUAGUUAUUUCGAUCCAUUCUAUUUUCUACCUAUGUAGUGAUGCUUCUAUAGUAUGCUUUUAUGGUGCAAUAGGUACCAAUAAUUAACCACUAAAUUAUUUGUGAUGUUGCAUUUAGUUUAGCUAACUACCUUCCUUGAGUUCAAGGUGGUGAAUUGUAAUGUUUCAUUUCAAUGAUAUGUAAGUAUAAUGUAUGAGUUGAGUUAUAAAUAAAUAUUUUUAAUCUACUAUUCAUCCAUAUUGUUUAGAGAUAUCAUAUUUCAUCAUAACUACCUCUGGUUUUAUGUUUUUAUAUAGGUGAUACCCUAGCCAUUGUCAAGAGAUUUUUUACCGCUGUUACGGUCCCAGAGACCGCACUUAUUCUCCUAAGUAAUGCCGGAGCAAAGAUCCUCGAUGACGUGCUCGGCGGAGAUAAUAUCAAGUGCACUUACAAGGAUGUACACAUUUUUUAAAAAUGUUUAUUCUUUUGGGAAUUAAAUUACUUUAGUUUCUGAUAUAAUUCUUAUAUAUCAUUGGAAACACAUUGCAGUUGGUUCGCUGCCUCUGAUUGCUUCCUUUGUGAUUUUGUACUCAAUGAGCUUGGUCGUUCAUAACUGUAUUUGUUAGUCGACCUUAGGAUAGUACUUCAGUUUGAUACCAUAUCUAU